RNAcentral lists this ribosomal RNA (501 nucleotides) under uncultured bacterium. RNAcentral describes it as "partial 16S ribosomal RNA". It matches the Rfam family "Bacterial small subunit ribosomal RNA", at positions 30 to 523 of the family's 1533-position model. The record is from RNAcentral.
AUUGAACGCUGGCGGCAGGCUUAACACAUGCAAGUCGAGCGGAGAUGAGGUGCUUGCACCUUAUCUUAGCGGCGGACGGGUGAGUAAUGCUUAGGAAUCUGCCUAUUAGUGGGGGACAACAUUCCGAAAGGAAUGCUAAUACCGCAUACGCACUACGGGGGAAAGCAGGGGAUCUUCGGACCUUGCGCUAAUAGAUGAGCAUAAGUCGGAUUAGCUAGUUGGUGGGGUAAAGGCCUACCAAGGCGACGAUCUGUAGCGGGUCUGAGAGGAUGAUCCGCCACACUGGGACUGAGACACGGCCCAGACUCCUACGGGAGGCAGCAGUGGGGAAUAUUGGACAAUGGGCGGAAGCCUGAUCCAGCCAUGCCGCGUGUGUGAAGAAGGCCUUUUGGUUGUAAAGCACUUUAAGCGAGGAGGAGGCUACCUGGAUUAAUACUCUAGGAUAGUGGACGUUACUCGCAGAAUAAGCACCGGCUAACUCUGUGCCAGCCGCCGCCGUAA